AUUGAACGCUGGCGGCAGGCCUAACACAUGCAAGUCGAGCGAGCGGCGGACGGGUGAGUAAUGUCUGGGAAACUGCCUGAUGGAGGGGGAUAACUACUGGAAACGGUAGCUAAUACCGCAUACCAUCAGAUGUGCCCAGAUGGGAUUAGCUAGUAGGUGGGGUAAAGGCUCACCUAGGCGACGAUCCCUAGCUGGUCUGAGAGGAUGACCAGCCCCACUGUAACUGAGACACGGUCCAGACUCCUACGGGAGGCAGCAGUGGGGAAUAUUGCACAAUGGGCGCAAGCCUGAUGCAGCCAUGCCGCGUGUAUGAAGAAGGCCUUCGGGUUGUAAAGUACUUUCAGCGAGGAGGCGUUACUCGCAGAAGAAGCACCGGCUAACUCCGUGCCAGCCGCCGCGGUAAUAC
Molecule: ribosomal RNA, 406 nt
Filed under: uncultured bacterium
Lineage: Bacteria
Description: partial 16S ribosomal RNA
Rfam family: Bacterial small subunit ribosomal RNA
Source: RNAcentral